Molecule: ribosomal RNA, 468 nt
Filed under: uncultured bacterium
Lineage: Bacteria
Description: partial 16S ribosomal RNA
Rfam family: Bacterial small subunit ribosomal RNA
Source: RNAcentral
GACGAACGCUUUCUUCUUUCUUAACACAUGCAAGUCGAACGGAAAGGCCCUGCUUUUGUGGGGUGCUCGAGUGGCGAACGGGUGAGUAACACGUGAGUAACCUGCCCUUGACUUUGGGAUAACUUCAGGAAACUGGGGCUAAUACCGGAUAGGAGCUCCUUCUGCAUGGUGGGGGUUGGAAAGUUUCGGCGGUUGGGGAUGGACUCGCGGCUUAUCAGCUUGUUGGUGGGGUAGUGGCUUACCAAGGCUUUGACGGGUAGCCGGCCUGAGAGGGUGACCGGCCACAUUGGGACUGAGAUACGGCCCAGACUCCUACGGGAGGCAGCAGUGGGGAAUAUUGCACAAUGGGCGGAAGCCUGAUGCAGCAACGCCGCGUGCGGGAUGAAGGAAUUCGGGUUGUAAACCGCUUUCGCCUGUGACGAAGCGUGAGUGACGGUAAUGGGUAAAGAAGCACAGGCUAAAUACGGG